RNAcentral lists this ribosomal RNA (253 nucleotides) under uncultured bacterium. RNAcentral describes it as "partial 16S ribosomal RNA". It matches the Rfam family "Bacterial small subunit ribosomal RNA", at positions 524 to 776 of the family's 1533-position model. The record is from RNAcentral.
UACGUAGGGGGCUAGCGUUGUCCGGAAUCAUUGGGCGUAAAGCGCGUGUAGGCGGCCCGGUAAGUCCGCUGUGAAAGUCCAGGGCUCAACCCUGGGAUGCCGGUGGAUACUGUCGGGCUCGAGUCCGGAAGAGGCGAGUGGAAUUCCUGGUGUAGCGGUGAAAUGCGCAGAUAUCAGGAAGAACACCCGUGGCGAAGGCGGCUCUCUGGGACGGUACUGACGCUGAGACGCGAAAGCGUGGGGAGCGAACAGG